This 481-nucleotide ribosomal RNA is filed under the name uncultured bacterium. RNAcentral describes it as "partial 16S ribosomal RNA". It matches the Rfam family "Bacterial small subunit ribosomal RNA", at positions 30 to 507 of the family's 1533-position model. The record is from RNAcentral.
AUUGAACGCUGGCGGCAUGCCUUACACAUGCAAGUCGAACGGUAACGGGCCUUCGGGUGCCGACGAGUGGCGAACGGGUGAGUAAUACAUCGGAACGUGCCCGAUCGUGGGGGAUAACGAGGCGAAAGCUUUGCUAAUACCGCAUACGAUCUACGGAUGAAAGCAGGGGACCGCAAGGCCUUGCGCGGACGGAGCGGCCGAUGGCAGAUUAGGUAGUUGGUGGGAUAAAAGCUUACCAAGCCGACGAUCUGUAGCUGGUCUGAGAGGAUGAUCAGCCACACUGGGACUGAGACACGGCCCAGACUCCUACGGGAGGCAGCAGUGGGGAAUUUUGGACAAUGGGCGCAAGCCUGAGCCAGCCAUGCCGCGUGCAGGAUGAAGGCCUUCGGGUUGUAAACUGCUUUGUACGGAACGAAAAGCCUUCUUUUAAUACAGGAGGGUCAUGACGGUACCGUAAGAAUAAGCACCGGCUAACUACGUG